Molecule: ribosomal RNA, 718 nt
Filed under: Escherichia coli
Lineage: Bacteria; Pseudomonadati; Pseudomonadota; Gammaproteobacteria; Enterobacterales; Enterobacteriaceae
Description: partial 23S ribosomal RNA
Rfam family: Bacterial large subunit ribosomal RNA
Source: RNAcentral
GGCAAGGGGGUCAUCCCGACUUACCAACCCGAUGCAAACUGCGAAUACCGGAGAAUGUUAUCACGGGAGACACACGGCGGGUGCUAACGUCCGUCGUGAAGAGGGAAACAACCCAGACCGCCAGCUAAGGUCCCAAAGUCAUGGUUAAGUGGGAAACGAUGUGGGAAGGCCCAGACAGCCAGGAUGUUGGCUUAGAAGCAGCCAUCAUUUAAAGAAAGCGUAAUAGCUCACUGGUCGAGUCGGCCUGCGCGGAAGAUGUAACGGGGCUAAACCAUGCACCGAAGCUGCGGCAGCGACGCUUAUGCGUUGUUGGGUAGGGGAGCGUUCUGUAAGCCUGUGAAGGUGUGCUGUGAGGCAUGCUGGAGGUAUCAGAAGUGCGAAUGCUGACAUAAGUAACGAUAAAGCGGGUGAAAAGCCCGCUCGCCGGAAGACCAAGGGUUCCUGUCCAACGUUAAUCGGGGCAGGGUGAGUCGACCCCUAAGGCGAGGCCGAAAGGCGUAGUCGAUGGGAAACAGGUUAAUAUUCCUGUACUUGGUGUUACUGCGAAGGGGGGACGGAGAAGGCUAUGUUGGCCGGGCGACGGUUGUCCCGGUUUAAGCGUGUAGGCUGGUUUUCCAGGCAAAUCCGGAAAAUCAAGGCUGAGGCGUGAUGACGAGGCACUACGGUGCUGAAGCAACAAAUGCCCUGCUUCCAGGAAAAGCCUCUAAGCAUCAGGUAA